AUGACUCUGGAGAAAUUAAUCUCUCAAUACUCCAGACCUCCUUUCCAUAUACCUGGUGAUCAAGUUACCCUGGACUUGCUUCCUGAUCCUGGUCCAAGACACUCCAGCUCCCUGCUGUGCAUCUUCACUGGCAGAGUUCCAUUCCUAGAAUUAUCUCCCUGCUCAUCCUUGCAUGUGGACUUCCUUCAUGUUCCUUCUAAAGUCAUCUUCUAAAAGAAACCUUUUGUCAUUCCCUUUAAUCUGAAUGCCUUCCCUCUAAAGUCAUUUCCAGUUUAUCUUAUGUGCAUCUGAUUCAUACAUAACUGUUUUGUAUUUUCUGUCACAUCAGACUGAGAGCUCUUUGAUAACAGGGAAUAUAUCUUCCCUAUCUUUGUGACCUCAUUACUUAGCAGAGUGUCUUGCACAUAGUAGGCUCUUCAUAAAAGCUUUUUGCCUUAUGGAUCUUGUACGGGUCACAGAGACAGUUAUAUCAACAUCCAGAUAAGUGACAGUAUAGUGUAGCUGUCUCUACCUUCUUUAAGACAUCAUUGAUUUAAAGAUAUGAUAUUGCAUUAAGAUCAAGGAGUGUUUUAUCUUUGCCUUUGAAUUGUUGAUGCCCAUUUCAAUGUCUAAAACAAUAUAUAUUUAAUAGAGACUGAUUAAUUGAUUUCAUCAGUAGGAGAACUUAAUGUAUUGCUAUGGAUGACAGCCCUGUUUUUAGUUACCUCCCAAACUAACUCUCUUACUUCAUGAUGCUGGAGAUCCUUCAACACUAGAUAAAAUCUUUCAUUUCAAAAUUAGAGUAAUGGCAUGGAAUGCAAACCAUUUGAAGAAUUUUUUCCAUCAACUUAAUUUCCACUGAAGUAUAAGUGUAUGAUAUCAGAUCAUUUUCUGAGAGCUUGUCAGGGAGAAAAUAUCAGAAAACAUGAAGCAGACAGGUUGCCCCUCAUGCUUGAAUUUCUCUUCCUUCAUAUUUCUACUUCUUAGCAUUCCUAGUUACCUUUAAGCUCAAGUGGGACCUUCAAUGAGACCUUUCCUGAUUCCCAUCUCUAACCAAGGUUUUAACAUUCUAGUGGCUUUAUACUUUAUAUAUUUAUUUUUUCAAAUAUUUACAAAUUUUCUUUUCUGAUAGAACCUAAGCACCCUGAAAGCUUGGACUGAUCCAUUUUUUUUUCUUUUCAAUCACAGUUGACUAACACAAAUUCAAGGACUUAAUAAUUUAACAAAAGCAAGUUGAUUGAUUCAUUGCACAGUUCUAACAAGACUGAAGACUCUAUGUUUAUUUAAUUAGAUUUAGAGAUAACCAUGCCUCCUCUGAUUUUUGAGUUGAUGUUUGUGAAUAUAGGCUGCUACGAAGUCAGUUUGAGAGAAUAGUACAGACCUUUGCUUUCAGGCUACCCAAAAAUUAUGAAAAUAGCUUUCUUGUGAGGAGGUAAAUAGAAAUCACAUCUGACAAAUUCAGUCCAAAACAGCUUCCCAUUUUAAGAAACAUUUUCCAGUGUAUUGUCAGGUUAUCCACUACAUAUCCUUCCACAUCUCUUUUGUUGCUUCGAUAACUCCAGUUGGCAGACCACUUCAAAUCUGCAUAAGGUUAUGAGUCACAAUAAAAGAUAUGAGAGAGGAAAGGAAAUCA
Monodelphis domestica (gray short-tailed opossum) is the source of this 1612-nucleotide long non-coding RNA. The record is from Ensembl. NCBI's taxonomy places the organism in Eukaryota, Metazoa, Chordata, Mammalia, Didelphimorphia, Didelphidae.